UUUUGGCAAUGGUUGAUCAUUACGCAUCAAAAAUGGGUGGAACAAACUAUCUUGCUGCGGUUGCUGCGGUUGCUGCGGUUGCUGCGGUUGCUGCGGUUGCUGCGGUUGCUGCGGUUGCUGCGGUUGCUGCGGUUGCUGCGGUUGCUGCGGUUGCUGCGGUUGCUGCGGUUGCUGCGGUUGCUGCGGUUGCUGCGCAAAAAUAUGCUGAUUUUUCGAUACGUAAGAAUCAAGAACAAUUGCUGUAUUUU
Molecule: small RNA, 248 nt
Filed under: Xenorhabdus thuongxuanensis
Lineage: Bacteria; Pseudomonadati; Pseudomonadota; Gammaproteobacteria; Enterobacterales; Morganellaceae
Description: isrG
Source: RNAcentral